CACGCCCUUAGAGUUUGAUCCUGGCUCAGGACGAACGCUGGCGGCGUGCCUAAUACAUGCAAGUCGAACGAAGCUUUCUUUCACCGAAUGCUUGCAUUCACCGAAAGAAGCUUAGUGGCGAACGGGUGAGUAACACGUAGGCAACCUGCCCAAAAGAGGGGGAUAACACUUGGAAACAGGUGCUAAUACCGCAUAACCAUGAACACCGCAUGAUGUUCAUGUAAAAGACGGCUUUUGCUGUCACUUUUGGAUGGGCCUGCGGCGUAUUAACUUGUUGGUGGGGUAACGGCCUACCAAGGUGAUGAUACGUAGCCGAACUGAGAGGUUGAUCGGCCACAUUGGGACUGAGACACGGCCCAAACUCCUACGGGAGGCAGCAGUAGGGAAUCUUCCACAAUGGACGAAAGUCUGAUGGAGCAACGCCGCGUGAAUGAAGAAGGCCUUCGGGUCGUAAAAUUCUGUUGUCAGAGAAGAACGUGCGUGAGAGUAACUGUUCACGUAUUGACGGUAUCUGACCAGAAAGCCACGGCUAACUACGUGCCAGCAGCCGCGGUAAUACGUAGGUGGCGAGCGUUGUCCGGAUUUAUUGGGCGUAAAGGGAACGCAGGCGGUCUUUUAAGUCUGAUGUGAAAGCCUUCGGCUUAACCGAAGUAGUGCAUUGGAAACUGGAAGACUUGAGUGCAGAAGAGGAGAGUGGAACUCCAUGUGUAGCGGUGAAAUGCGUAGAUAUAUGGAAGAACACCAGUGGCGAAAGCGGCUCUCUGGUCUGUAACUGACGCUGAGGUUCGAAAGCGUGGGUAGCAAACAGGAUUAGAUACCCUGGUAGUCCACGCCGUAAACGAUGAGUGCUAAGUGUUGGAGGGUUUCCGCCCUUCAGUGCUGCAGCUAACGCAUUAAGCAGCCGCCUGGGGAGUACGGUCGCAAGACUGAAACUAAGCUAUUUAAGACGGAAGGGCG
Molecule: ribosomal RNA, 957 nt
Filed under: uncultured bacterium
Lineage: Bacteria
Description: bacterial SSU rRNA
Rfam family: Bacterial small subunit ribosomal RNA
Source: RNAcentral